UACGAAUGGGGCUAGCGUUGCUCGGAAUCACUGGGCGUAAAGGGUGCGUAGGCGGGUCUUUAAGUCAGGGGUGAAAUCCUGGAGCUUAACUCCGAAACUGCAUUCGAUACUGCCGUGCUUGAGGACUGGAGAGGAGACUGGAAUUUACGGUGUAGCGGUGAAAUGCGUAGAUAUCGUAAGGAAGACCAGUGGCGAAGGCGGGUCUCUGGACAGUUCCUGACGCUGAGGCACGAAGGCCAGGGGAGCAAACGGG
This 253-nucleotide ribosomal RNA is filed under the name uncultured bacterium. RNAcentral describes it as "partial 16S ribosomal RNA". It matches the Rfam family "Bacterial small subunit ribosomal RNA", at positions 524 to 776 of the family's 1533-position model. The record is from RNAcentral.